This 913-nucleotide long non-coding RNA is filed under the name Numida meleagris (helmeted guineafowl). RNAcentral's name for it is "lncRNA (ENSNMEG00000006508.1)". Lineage: Eukaryota; Metazoa; Chordata; Aves; Galliformes; Numididae. The record is from RNAcentral.
UAGAGGGUGGAAGAGGCUUGCCAAAAGAAAGUUCCCUGUGUGGUAGUGGCCUGGGAAGAGAAGCAAGAUGUGAACAAGGAGUGAUGUGAGUAGAGAGAAUGUGAACUGACUGACGGCCUUCAGUUUUCUUCCUGUUUAACAAGGUCAGAGGGUGGAUUUGUCUGUGGUUUGGAAAUCUCCCAGAGAGAUGAGGCUGGGAACCAUCAAGAUCUACUGCAGUACAAGAAGCAAUUGAUUGGGCUAAAAUCAGAGCGGAUCCCAUGUUAUUUUCCUGUUUUGGCUUAUUACAAUAACGAAAGCAAGAGGAAACACAGGGAAUAUUUCUGCUGGUGAGUCAUUAGGUUCCUUGUCAUGAGAGUCUAUUCUUCAAAAUGAAUGCGAUCUGCUGAGAAUAUUAUAGUUCAGAUAGGUCAGAACCUGUAGCAAUAUUGUUAUGUACAAGCAGGGAGUCUUCCCACCCAAGAGGAAGUUGUUACUGUAAGUGGAAGAAGGGCUUCAAAGAAACGAGACGAAACUCACAAUGAAAAAAGUCAUAAGGAGCCUUAUGGGGAAGCUGGUAAACAAGGCAAUAUGCAAAGUGAUCCAAAUUGCAUCUGAUUUGUGCAUGGAAGAGCAUUCACAGUUAGGUUAGCAAUCUGAGUCAUAUUUAGGUGAUGGGAAGAGCUGGGAUUUUAUACAGAAACACCUAAGGAGACAGAGAUAUUUGCACAAUCCCUGAAGAUAAUAUUUUUCCUUCUCUUAUUUAUUACGGGAGGAGAUUCAUUGAUUGGUUUACACUACAUGCAUAUUACAUGCAUUUUGGGUGGGUGAAGUUAGGUGUUGAUUACUAUUCUAAGUUAAGUUGAUCACCAUUCUAGUAUUUCUCUGAGUAGAGAAAAGAAAGUCAAACAAUAAAGAAUAGUAUUUUAAAUCA